This 578-nucleotide small RNA is filed under the name Pan troglodytes (chimpanzee). Its description in RNAcentral is "processed transcript". Lineage: Eukaryota; Metazoa; Chordata; Mammalia; Primates; Hominidae. The record is from RNAcentral.
AGUCAGGGCCCUACGCUCCUGGUGAAUCCAGGCUCUGUUCACAAAGCUGGCGUCUUGGAGGAGGCAGCCCCUGCAUUCUCCUGUGCUCCUCUCUGGCACUUGACCUAGCGGGAAGUGCCACUGCCCACAAGCAUUCCAUCAACUUGUGAGUUUCACUUCUUUGCCAAAAACUGGCAAAGAGAAAUGUGACAGGGAAUUGAACUUAGGCGUUUCAUUUGCUGGAAGGUGAAUCUCAGGCAGCGAGUAUGACGAGGAGGAGGUGGACUAUGAGGAGUCGGACAGCGAUGAGUCCUGGACCACAGAGAGUGCCAUCAGCUCCGAAGCCAUCCUCAGCUCCAUGUGCAUGAAUGGAGGGGAAGAGAAGCCUUUUGCCUGCCCAGUUCCUGGAUGUAAAAAGAGAUACAAGAAUGUGAAUGGCAUAAAGUAUCACGCUAAGAAUGGUCACAGAACACAGAUUCGUGUCCGCAAACCAUUCAAAUGUCGCUGUGGGAAGAGUUACAAGACAGCUCAGGGCCUGCGGCACCACACAAUCAAUUUCCAUCCCCCGGUGUCGGCUGAGAUUAUCAGGAAGAUGCAGC